Pelobates cultripes (western spadefoot toad) is the source of this 355-nucleotide non-coding RNA. The record is from the annotation of a GenBank genome assembly. NCBI's taxonomy places the organism in Eukaryota, Metazoa, Chordata, Amphibia, Anura, Pelobatidae.
CUAAUACAAUAAACAUCAAAAUAAUCUGAAUUGGAGUAUACAAAAACUCUAUACACAAUAAUAAGCAGGGCUGCGUCACAUACAAAAGAGCGACUAAACAACCAAAUAAAAUAUAAACCAACAAGGGUAUGUGAGCGCUCCAAAUAAAAUAUGACCACUAGAAAAAUUACACUCCAAAGCAGCAGCUGUAGAAUAAGAUAAAAAUGUACAUAUACACAAAAUAUUUAUUCAUAUAAAAAUAAACAAAUCAUAAGAACCAUGAAAAAAUCCUUAUAAAUCUAAAUAUAAAAAAGUUCAUAAGGAUGUGUCCAAACCAAAGUUCAAAGAUACAUAGUGUGGGGCCCCCAACACUAAU